GCGGAAGAGAUAAGUGCUGAAAGCAUCUAAGCACGAAACUUGCCCCGAGAUGAGUUCUCCCUGAGACUAUAAGUCUCCUGAAGGAACGUUAAAGACGAUGACGUUGAUAGGCCGGGUGUGUAAGCGCAGCGAUGCGUUGAGCUAACCGGUACUAAUGAACCGUGAGGCUUAACCUUACAACGCCGAAG
This 188-nucleotide ribosomal RNA is filed under the name Klebsiella pneumoniae. RNAcentral's name for it is "partial 23S ribosomal RNA". It matches the Rfam family "Bacterial large subunit ribosomal RNA", at positions 2755 to 2925 of the family's 2925-position model. The record is from RNAcentral. Lineage: Bacteria; Pseudomonadati; Pseudomonadota; Gammaproteobacteria; Enterobacterales; Enterobacteriaceae.